Molecule: unclassified non-coding RNA, 211 nt
Filed under: Glomeraceae sp.
Lineage: Eukaryota; Fungi; Glomeromycota; Glomeromycetes; Glomerales; Glomeraceae
Description: partial contains 5.8S ribosomal RNA and internal transcribed spacer 2
Rfam family: 5.8S ribosomal RNA (bases 1-72)
Source: RNAcentral
GUGAAUCAUCAAAUCUUUGAACGCAAAUUGCACUCUCCGGUUUUCCGGGGAGGAAGGCCUGUUUGGGGGUCAGCCUAAAAAAAAUCGGCAUUGUUGCUGUUUUAUGGUGACUUUCAUCGGAGAUGGGUUAUCUUAAAUCUGGGUUUAAGCGACUUAAAAAUUUUUUUUACGAUUCUAAGAAUGUUUCUAGGAUUUUUCUUCUACGUUUAAG